This 2077-nucleotide long non-coding RNA is filed under the name Anolis carolinensis (green anole). RNAcentral's name for it is "lncRNA (ENSACAG00000038539.1)". The record is from RNAcentral. Lineage: Eukaryota; Metazoa; Chordata; Lepidosauria; Squamata; Anolidae.
CCAGCACAAUUUUACCACUAAAUAUAGUUCUGCUAUGUUAAUUUAGACACAGUCACAAAUGCGCUGCUGCAUAAUAUGUAAAGAGCAUCUUCAGUUAGCAUAUGCCAUUUGCUGGUGCUAUUCUGCUUUUGAUAAUACCAACACAUCCACAAUCAUUGUUGGGUAAAAUGUGGCCCUCCAGAUAUUGCUGGACUGCAGCUUCCAUCAACCCCAGCCACAUAGCUGAAGAAUGCUAGGAGGUGCAAUGAAGCAAUGUUUAGAAAAUGGCCCUUUUUCUAAAUGGCAGAUCAGAAGCACUGAAUUCUAAUAUUGUUCCUUCAGCUGCAGUUGGUGUGUGACUCACUAGCUAGUAUUUCCCAAUGAUGGAUUCAACCUUUUCCAAGUUGCAUCAGUGAAUAACAUCCUGUCGUUAACCAGAUGUGGCAUGUGUGGCAUUGCUUUCCUCAGCACAGAUGUUUUGGUAUGGGCAAAUGAAUUGAACCAUCUGUUUUAUUCCAUUAGUCAAGUCAUUUUAGACAUAUUUUGACCAGAAAUCUCAAAUGGUGUGUGUGUAAUUGUGUGCUUUGCAUACAUUGUUGUUAUUUUAAUUGUAAUAUACAGAUACUGGCUUUUUUCGUGUCAGGAGCGACUUGAGAAUCUGCAAGUUGCUUCUGGUGUGAGAGAAUUGUCUGUCCAAGGGGACGCCUGGAUGUUUUGAUGUUUUUACCAUUCAUGUGGGAGGCUUCUCUUAUGUCCCUGCAUGGAGCUGGAGUUGGUAGAGGGAGCUCAUCCGUGCUCUCCCUGGGUUGGAUUUGAACCAGCAACCUUAAGUAAACUGAGGCUGUUGUAUUUUGGAUGUACCAUGAGACUACAUGACACACUGGAAAACUUGGUAACACUGGUAAAGUGGAAGGCAGAAGGAAAAGGAAAGAUUGCACUAUGUGGAUGGAUUCAAUCAAAGAAGAAUUAUGUCUCAGUUUGCAAGGCUGAGGAGGGCAUUUGGAGAACAUGGAACACUUCCAUUCAUAAGGUUGCCGUAAGUCUAAAUUGAUUUGAUAUCAAAUAAGAGUGAAAAAAACAAUAUUGAUACGCCUAUUUUAUCAUGAAUUUAAAGUUAAUUGCUCAUUCUAUUUUUAAAUUGCUUGAAUUGCGAUUAUUAUUAUUAACUUUAUUUACUCCACCUUUCUCCCCAUGGGAACGCAAGGCGGAUAAACAAUCCCAUACUACACAAGUUUUUAAAAUGCAAUACAAAAGUUAAAAAACAAUUAAAUGCACUUACAAUGUCCUUUAGAGCUCAUCCCCCCAAUUCCAUCCAACCUUCCCAAAGCCUGCCCCUUAUACUUCCAUAAAUGCCUGUUGGCAAAAGAAAGUCUUGACCUGCUUGCAGAAGGCCAGCAGGGAUGAGGCUAUCCUGGUCUCUCUUGGGAGGGAGUUCCACAGUCUGGGAGCAGUCAUUGAAAAGGCCCCCUCCUAUGUUUCCACUAGUAGAUUGUAGAUGUCUCCCAAGUUCAUAAAAAGAGAUACAGUAGAGUCUCACUUAUCCAAGCUAAACGGGCCGGCAGAAGCUUGGAUAAGCGAAUAACUUGGAUAAUAAGAAGGGAUUAAGGAAAAGCCUAUUCAACAUCAAAUUAGGUUAUGAUUUUACAAAUUAAGCACCAAAACAUCCUGUUAUACAACAAAUUGGACAGAAAAGGUAGUUCAAUAUGCAGUAAUGUUAUGAUGUAAUUACUGUAUUUACGAAUUUAGCACCAAAAUAUCAUGAUAUAUUGAAAACAUUGACUACAAAAAUGGCUUGGAUUACCAGAGGCUUGGAUAAGCGAGGCUUGGAUUAGUGAGACUCUACUGUAACUUGGACUGAAGCCAUAUAGGGCUUUGUAGGUCAAAACCAGCACUUUGAAUUUUGCUCAGAAACAUGUUGGCAACCAGUGGAGCUGUUGCAACAGAGGAGUUGUAAACUCCCUGUAGCCAGCCCCAGUUAUCAGUCCAGCUGCUGCUCUUUGGACCAACUGAAGUUUCUGAGCACUUUUCUAAAGCAGCCCCAUGUAGAGCGCAUUUCAGUACUCUAACUAGGAUGCAACCAAGGCAUGUACCACUGUGA